RNAcentral lists this transfer RNA (66 nucleotides) under Clavatula tripartita. RNAcentral's name for it is "tRNA-Cys". The record is from RNAcentral. Lineage: Eukaryota; Metazoa; Mollusca; Gastropoda; Neogastropoda; Clavatulidae.
CCCACCAUAGUUUAUAUAAAACUUCGACUUGCAAAAUCGAAAAUGGAACAAUUUUUCCUGGUGUGU